AGUGAACGCUGGCGGUAGGCCUAACACAUGCAAGUCGAACGGCAGCACAGUAAGAGCUUGCUCUUACGGGUGGCGAGUGGCGGACGGGUGAGGAAUACAUCGGAAUCUACUUUUUCGUGGGGGAUAACGUAGGGAAACUUACGCUAAUACCGCAUACGACCUACGGGUGAAAGCAGGGGAUCUUCGGACCUUGCGCGAUUGAAUGAGCCGAUGUCGGAUUAGCUAGUUGGCGGGGUAAAGGCCCACCAAGGCGACGAUCCGUAGCUGGUCUGAGAGGAUGAUCAGCCACACUGGAACGGAGACAGGGUCCAGACUCCUACGGGAGGCAGCAGUGGGGAAUAUUGGACAAUGGGCGCAAGCCUGAUCCAGCCAUACCGCGUGGGUGAAGAAGGCCUUCGGGUUGUAAAGCCCUUUUGUUGGGAAAGAAAAGCAGCAGGUUAAUACCCCGCUGUUCUGACGGUACCCAAAGAAUAAGCACCGGCUAACUUCGUG
Molecule: ribosomal RNA, 492 nt
Filed under: uncultured bacterium
Lineage: Bacteria
Description: partial 16S ribosomal RNA
Rfam family: Bacterial small subunit ribosomal RNA
Source: RNAcentral